Molecule: transfer RNA, 74 nt
Filed under: Chloroflexota bacterium
Lineage: Bacteria; Bacillati; Chloroflexota
Description: Chloroflexi bacterium (sediment metagenome) tRNA-Gln
Rfam family: tRNA
About the family: Transfer RNA (tRNA) molecules are approximately 80 nucleotides in length.
Source: RNAcentral
UGGGGGCUCGUCUAACGGUAGGACAGUGGACUCUGAAUCCAUAUGUGGGGGUUCGAAUCCUCCGCCCCCAGCCU